Non-coding RNA from Herpailurus yagouaroundi (jaguarundi), 73 nucleotides. The record is from the annotation of a RefSeq genome assembly. Lineage: Eukaryota; Metazoa; Chordata; Mammalia; Carnivora; Felidae.
GCCUGGCUGGCUCAGUCGGGAGAGCGUGCAGCUCCUGAUCUCAAGGUCGUGAGUUCAAGCCCCACGUCGGGCU